This 4358-nucleotide long non-coding RNA is filed under the name Carica papaya (papaya). RNAcentral describes it as "long non-coding RNA (CPAP_LNC012045)". The record is from RNAcentral. Lineage: Eukaryota; Viridiplantae; Streptophyta; Magnoliopsida; Brassicales; Caricaceae.
UAAGUAGAUACGUAAUGUUCAUGCGCGCCGGGGUUAUCAUGGGUUCCUGCCUGUAAAAUAUUUAUGAAUAAGGUCGCUGCAUGCUUUUGUGUGUCUGCAUGUUUAUGGAGGUUAUCUUUAAAUAAAAGAAAAUGCCCCGGUGUUUAGUAAUUACCGUACAUAUUCCAUAUAAUAUAUAUAUAUAUACGAGAUAUAUAUCUAUAUGAAUAGUUAGUAUAUCCGAGACAAUCUAUAUUUAUAGUGAGUUAAUUUUAGAGUAAAUUAUUAAAUUAAUCUUAAUAUUUCACAGUUAUUAUAAUUUAAUUUUUAAUAAUUUUUUAUUACGAGAGAAGCAAAGAGUAAUCUAAGUGAGAACAAGAAAUAAAGAUGGCUUCCUUCUCCUGCAAAAAGAUAGCUUAGCGGAACUAGGGUCUACAGUUAACUAAUUAUCCUUACAACGUGUCUACAUACUAUCACAGGACCAAGAAAAAAGCGAUCUGAGUUUAACAACAGAUCAAAUAAGGGGGUUGCUAAUGUGAAAAAGAGCACUCAGUACUCCUACAAGCCUGUUCAUGCAGGGCCUUUUUUGAACAAAUAUGGCGGUAUUGGUCCAGAGCUAAGACUGUAGGGAACAACAACUACAUCAAUGCCAGCAUCGGUGGAUUCUAUAUAAAUCCUACAUACAGAACUACAACGAAUUAGAGUGGUAGGUUUGCAAACUUCAAUUAAAGAAAGUCCAAAAAUUCCCAGAACAACCUGAGUGGACACUCAACAUGGAAGAUUAAUGACAGGUACUCUCUUCUUACCUGUACUUUAUAUCAAUGAGGCACAAUAUAAAAAAAAAUCCAAGUUAAAGCAUAAACAUUUGAGUUUCAUGUUUAUUAAUCAACGCUAUCGUUUUAUUUGCUGUUCCAUCUUGUGUUUUAUAAUUUGCUGCCAUUAUCAUGUUGUCUUAAAUGAGAGAGUACGUGGAUUAUAAUGUUAAACAGAGCAUAAUAGUAUAUUAACCUACUCCCUAAGCAAUUUGUUCUAUUAGUUCGUCAUAAUUUGGAAUCGACCGUGCUCAACUAACCAUGCGAAGGAUGCAUCAGGUGGUGGGCAGGCAUGGAUGUGAAGACCUUGCCCAUACGAAGCUCUCAAGCCAUAACCCCAUCAAUUUGAAUUUACCAUGAACGCACAACAGAUUACCAGCAACUCCAUAUAUACUCAAACUUUAACAGAAUAAACUCAAACACAUUAUUAAACCUAACUGCUCUCGAAAAAAAAUAAUAUAUGUCAUGCAGCCAUAGACAAAAGAUGCCUAGCACAUGCAGUAUAAAAGCAUAGAAGCAUUAUUGCAGACGCCUAAAUUCUACUACCGGCAUCGGAUCAUUUAGUUCUUUUGGAGUUGUCUUGAACAUAAGUACGAAAGAGGACAACCUUGCAAACAUUUGGGAUAAACAGGGCGCUAAACCAAACAGCUAUUGCAAUUAAUCACAAACCCUAAGCCAAAAGCAAACACAAACCUGAGAGAAAUUAAAUGGACAAAUCAAUUAUCGAGAGUUCACAAUCUAACUGGAAACAACACACCGACAAAAAAACACUUGUUCGGCCAAAAUUUAUAGCUGAUUAGGUAAAGUUCCAAGCUGAACCGAGGCCUCCGGAAAGGUAAAGGCACAUGCGUAAAUUAUUCAGACUGAUCUCAAAUUGGUUUGGAUGUUUUGCAGAAUGCUGGUUCCGACUCGAACUAGAACCCCUCCAUCAAAUCAGUGUAGCCGUAUAUCUGCAAUCCAGAAUAAUUCAGAAAAGAAGCUUACGUGACCUAGUCCUAUUUAAAUAGCAAUCCCUCAGAACCAACAUUAUAUAGCUUAAAAUUAACUAAGGUGAGAGAAGAAGGCUCCGGCUCCGACAAGGCUCACCGGGUGGUUGACGGGGUAAGAUUCCUUAACUGCUUUCCAUCGACGGCGCCGCGCAAGGCGUUGCUAAGGGGAUUUUCAACUCCCUCGUCGACAGGGUUCUUGCGAAUCAGGAAGCUGCAGUGCGCGAGUUCGAGCACAGUGACGACAUUGGCUUGAUUAUAUCAUCUUAAUUAUACACUCUUAUUAUUUUAUUGAUGAUAAUAUAUAAUUUGUUAUUUUAUUGUAACAUAUUCAUAAUAUUUAAUUUAAUAUAAUCAAUAAAUUAAUUAAUGUAUUAGUAAAUUUAUAUUUUCUAAACGUUUGACUAUAUAUUAAUUUAAUUUAUUAUUUAACAUAAGUUAAAUUAAGUGUAUGACAUAAUUAUUGAAUUUAUGAAUUUAUCUUUAUAAAAUUUAAUACUACCCAUAUAUAUAUAGUUCAUCAAAUAAAAUAUGACCAAUAAAAUUACUCAAUUUUCUGCAAAAAUUACUUUAAUUUAGUGCAUUAAUUUUAAAGUGAAAUUAAUUAAUUUUAUAUUUUAACGAGUUAUAAUAUAAUAAUUUAAUAGUUUAUCUAAAAAGAGAUUAUAAUCUACUCAUAAAACAUAAGAUAUUAAUUGUAAAGUUGAAUCUUAUCCUUAUCAUAUUAAAAUAAUUUAUUAAAAUAUACACCAUAGUUAAAAAUAAUAUAUUAUAUAUUUUAAAAAUAUUAAACUCAUAGAUUAUAUUAAAUUUAAUUUAAUUUAGUCGUAACAAAAUUUAUUUAUCUCACGUAUAGAUUCAGUAUUUUUAUAAAAAAAUUAUUAGUACAGCAAGAAAAAAUUUCAGUACAAAAUAUAUGUAUUUAUUAGUUACGUGAUAUUAAUAGUGAGAUGUAUAAAUAAUUUUUAAAUUAAAAUAUUAACAUAAACUAAUAAUUUAUAAUUAAAAAAUAAUUUACCAAUUAGUUGUGAGGAAAGAGGUCUUAGUUUUUCUAAAUUUUUUUCUUUAGUUGGACUUGUUCUUUCGUGUUUGCAGCUUUUUAAGGGUAAAGAAUUGUAUUGACUUCCUUAUUAUAUCUAUUAAAACCAUUGAUAAGUUAUGUAUCUGUGGUGUGUAUAUAUAUAUAUAUGUACAUAUUUGAAAAAAAUGUAUAUAUAUACACACACACAGAGACAAGAAUUAGAGAACAUGGCUAUCGCUGGAAAUGUUUGAAAAGAUUCCCAUGAUAAAUUUGGCACAGAAGUGCGUCGCCUCCAUUUCAAGAUUCUAAUUCCUAGAGCAUGAAAAGAUAUAUGUGAUAUAUAUAUAUAUAUAUGUGAUAUAUAUGUGAUAUAUAUAUAUAUAUAUCGAUCUUAUCUUAUCAGGCAACGUAUAAAAAAAUUAUUCCUUCCUCACUCCCACUCGUAGCGUAAUCUUCAAGCUGAAGCUCUGAAGAUUCCUUUCACCCCUCCACUCCACACCUAUAUAAAGACCAACCAAGUUUCGCACUUCAAACACAAAAGAAACACACACAAAAAAAAGAAAAAACUCAGAGCAAUCAAGAAAAAAAAAGUAAGAAAAUGGAAGGAACAAGCGUUCAGGUGAGAAGACAAGUGAGAGACUCGAUCGAACAAGGUUUCGACACGGCCCACCGUGUGACCGACUUGGUGACCUUUCCUUUAGCGCCACUCGACGGCGCCGUACACGGCGUUGCUCGUGGAGUCUUCAACUGGCUCACCGACAGGCAUCCCGAGCCUGCAGCCACUGGUUCAAAAUGCGCACCGCCGGCCCCAGCCGUGCAACCCACCAGUUGCAAGGUCGACCCGGCGGCUUGCUGUAAGCCCGGGCCUCAAUUUGGUAACCAUGGAAACAUUGGCGCACAGAACAAUACUACUGGAAACAACAAUAACCUUGACGCUCGCAUUAGCGGACCCAUGAACUUCGGAAACCCUAAGGGCUUUUAAGUAGAUACGUAGCGUCAUGCGCGCCGGGGUUAUCAUGGGUUCCUGCCAGAAAAAUAUUUAUGAAUAAGGUUGCUGCAUGCUUUUGCGUGUUGUACGUGGGGUGUCUGCAUGUUUAUGAAGGUUAUCUAUAAAUAAAAGAAAAUGCCUCGGUGUUUAGUAAUUACCGUACAUAUUUCAUACAAAUAUAUAUAUAUAAUAUAUAUAUACGAGAUAUAUAUCUAUAUCUCUGAACCCACCUUCAAUUUGGGCUUUAAUUCUCUAAAAAAAGCUGUGAGCCUUAACAUAUUCAUAUAGAUAUAUCUCUCGUAUAUAACCUAUUCACAGAGUUACUUGGGUCUUUCCUUUGGGCCAGAUUAAAUUUAUAAAUCAUAAAUAAAAAUAUAAAUAAAAUUUAAGUAAAAUAAUAUUUAUUUGUAAAUAAGUUUAAAAUUAUUUUCCAAGUAAAUUGUAAAAUUAAAAAUUUCUCGUAUUAACUCAAAAAAAAGUUUUUUAUUUUUGUGAACAUGAAGAUAAAUGAUAAAUUUUUAAAACGACCCUGUUUCGUGGACAUGACCACCUAGUAUUAUGUCUUGUUAAGC